AUCCAGCUGACGAGUCUCAAAUAGGACGAAACACGCGUCAAACUGGAU
This is a non-coding RNA of Schistosoma rodhaini, 48 nucleotides long. NCBI's taxonomy places the organism in Eukaryota, Metazoa, Platyhelminthes, Trematoda, Strigeidida, Schistosomatidae. The record is from Rfam.